RNAcentral lists this ribosomal RNA (506 nucleotides) under uncultured bacterium. Its description in RNAcentral is "partial 16S ribosomal RNA". It matches the Rfam family "Bacterial small subunit ribosomal RNA", at positions 28 to 523 of the family's 1533-position model. The record is from RNAcentral.
GAUGAACGCUAGCUACAGGCUUAACACAUGCAAGUCGGGGGGUAACGAGAGGAAAGCUUGCUUUCCUUGUCGACGACCGGCGCACGGGUGAGUAACGCGUAUCCAACCUGCCCCCAACUAAGGAAUAACCUUGCGAAAGUAAGACUAAUACCUUAUAAUUUCCUCAGAUGUCAUCUGACGAGGAAUAAAGAUUUAUCGGAUGUGGAUGGGGAUGCGUCUGAUUAGCUUGUUGGCGGGGUAACGGCCCACCAAGGCAACGAUCAGUAGGGGUUCUGAGAGGAAGGUCCCCCACAUUGGAACUGAGACACGGUCCAAACUCCUACAGGAGGCAGCAGUGAGGAAUAUUGGUCAAUGGGCGGAAGCCUGAACCAGCCAAGUAGCGUGCAGGAUGACGGCCCUAUGGGUUGUAAACUGCUUUUAUACAGGAAUAAAGUUAGCCACGUGUGGUUAUUUGUAGGUACUGUAUGAAUAAGGACCGGCUAAUUCCGUGCCAGCAGCCGCGGUAA